RNA transcript from Fukomys damarensis (Damara mole-rat), 997 nucleotides. It is a transcript of the gene named glutathione S-transferase omega-2, with no coding region annotated. Lineage: Eukaryota; Metazoa; Chordata; Mammalia; Rodentia; Bathyergidae. The record is from RefSeq and is a predicted model, not a curated record. The transcript has 2 exons.
GGCCAGCAGUGCUUCCCUGAGCUGCAUCCCACUGCUCUCUGCCUAGUUACUCUCUCAUCACUUGCGACGCGAUCUCUGACGCUCAAAACUGUGAGCAGGAGAGGCCUAUUCUGGCUUGCAGUCUGCAGAGGCUUCAGCGGGGCCCUGGGGUCUGCUCAGCCAUGGCAGACAGGAAGCAGAGGAGAUGAGGGUGGGAACCGCUCCCCUCCAACCCGGCCUCACCUCUCAGCCGAACUCCAGUGGACUGACCGACUGAGCGCCAACUCCCCCAUGAUGCAGUCCCGCCCAGACGCCCCACCUCAGAGUGCAUGAGGCUUUGGGGUCGUCUACAUGUAAACCAUAGCACCCUCUUAGCUUUUUUAAAACAAGGGUCGCCAACAUUUUUCAGCCUUACAAGACAACGAUGAUCGUGGGGACUCCCUCCAUACCGCACUGGAAAUAGAAGGAUUAACUUCCAGGCAGCAAAGCCUGCCUUCCUUCCGGGUGGUGGCUGGACUUCAGUGGGAAGAACUGACUUCCGGUGGAUGUAGCCUUCCGGAGGCUGCCCUUGCUUGUCACGUGACCCGUCACGUGACCCGCACUCCCUGGGCGGUGGGGCUGCCCGUUCCUCCUAGCGCUCUGCCACCGUCUCUGGGACAGGAGUGAACAUCACCACCACUCAGCAGACCAGGACACCGAGGCCUGGAGCAGGGGAGGCAGGCUGCCCGGGCUUCAUCAGAGUCAGAGCCCGCAGAGAACCGGGCUGCUGGCCACACAGCACCCUCCUCCCUCGGGCCAAGACCACAGAGUCCCCUGCCACUGUCAUUCCCACCUGGCUCUCGGUAACCUCUGCCCCUCACGAGAGCCUCAGCUUCUCAAAGUGCCUCGCCAGCCAAACGUUUGGGGGGAAGCGUCUGGCGGGCUAUGAAUUAGAGACUGAGAUCCUUAGCUAUCAGAACACCACCUUCUUUGGCGGAGACCACGUAACCAUGGUCGAUUACCUCUUCUGGCCCUGGUU